This 300-nucleotide ribosomal RNA is filed under the name uncultured Methanopyrus sp. RNAcentral describes it as "bacterial SSU rRNA". It matches the Rfam family "Bacterial small subunit ribosomal RNA", at positions 496 to 795 of the family's 1533-position model. Lineage: Archaea; Methanobacteriati; Methanobacteriota; Methanopyri; Methanopyrales; Methanopyraceae. The record is from RNAcentral.
CGUAGGUUCGUGCCGGGAGCCGCGGUGAUGCGGGGGCUGACAGGUGUAGUCGGAAGCACUGGGCGUGAAGGGUGGGGAGGCGGACCGGUAAGUCCGGCUUUGAAGACCGAGGCUCAACCUGGGGGAUGGGCGUGGUACUGCGGGUCUGGACCUCUGGAGAGAGAACUGGAAUUCCUGGUGUAGCGGUGGAAUGCGUAGAUACCAGGAGGAACACCAACGGCGAAGGCAGGUUCUUGGACAGAAGGUGACGCUGAGGCGCGAAAGUGUGGGGAGCGAACCGGAUUAGAUACCCGGGUAGUC